AGGUGUGAUCAUCCCAGCACUAAUGCACCGGAUCCCAUCAGAACUUCGUAGUUAAGCGUGCUUGGGCGAGAGUAGUACUAGGAUGGGUGACCUCCUGGGAAGUCCUCGUGUUGCACCAC
This is a non-coding RNA of Vigna angularis (adzuki bean), 119 nucleotides long. The record is from Rfam. NCBI's taxonomy places the organism in Eukaryota, Viridiplantae, Streptophyta, Magnoliopsida, Fabales, Fabaceae.